AAAGAAAAUCUGACUAAGCUAAAUUAACUUAUAAAUUAUACGAUAGUAAAAAUCGACUGGGUCCUCUUCAGAGAAUAUUUAUAUACCUACAUUGUGGUAUUACGAUUUAUUGAUUUUUAGAACUGAAGAUGAGGAGCAGGAAUAUCAAGUAUUAAUGUAGUAGGUAAUAUUUUUAAAUGCACCUUUACCAAAUAAAUAAUUUACUUUAUUUUUUAUUUAAAAUUAUUAUGUAUAUUUUAUAUAAUAGUGGACUUCAAAGUUGUUAUCAGUUAAAUCAACUAUAGAAACACAUAAAAUAUAAGCAGAUAAAAAAAACAAAUAAGAAAUAAUUCCUACAUUAUUUUAAGUACCUACUCUAUAUCUGCUUGUAUAUGAAUCAAUUAUUAUUUUAAAUUAUGUAUAACACAUUUCCAAUGUCUACAAGUCUAUAGUGUAUAGGCACAUGUUUAGAUAUUAAAAAUUAAUUCGUUUUCAUAUUUUUAUAGGGAAAUUCCAAUAAAUGAACAGGACAAGAAUCUACAAGUGUUAGCAUUAAAAGUUGUAAUGAAGUAUCAAUUGACAUGUUUAAAAUGGAAAAAAUCAUAAAAGUGAAUGACAAAGAAGAAAAAAGUAAAUAUCAAUGUGGCAAGUAUCUUUUGAGUACGUAUUUUUCUCUCUUUUGUCUAAUCUCACCCCCUAAAUUUAUCCACACGCAAAAGAAAAAUAAGGUACAACAAAUUUUGGUUCAGUAUAUUUAUGUUAACUCAACUUUAAUUUAAAAUUUGGAUAUAUACUCAUAAUAAGGGCACGGAUGUUGUUUCAUUUGCAACUUUUUUUCCAUA
This 821-nucleotide long non-coding RNA is filed under the name Cinara cedri. Lineage: Eukaryota; Metazoa; Arthropoda; Insecta; Hemiptera; Aphididae. The record is from RNAcentral.